This 468-nucleotide ribosomal RNA is filed under the name uncultured bacterium. RNAcentral's name for it is "partial 16S ribosomal RNA". It matches the Rfam family "Bacterial small subunit ribosomal RNA", at positions 28 to 507 of the family's 1533-position model. The record is from RNAcentral.
GACGAACGCUGGCGACGUGCUUAACACAUGCAAGUCGAACGGAAAGGCCCUGCUUUUGUGGGGUGCUCGAGUGGCGAACGGGUGAGUAACACGUGAGUAACCUGCCCUUGACUUUGGGAUAACUUCAGGAAACUGGGGCUAAUACCGGAUAGGAGCUCCUGCUGCAUGGUGGGGGUUGGAAAGUUUCGGCAGUUGGGGAUGGACUCGCGGCUUAUCAGCUUGUUGGUGGGGUAGUGGCUUACCAAGGCUUUGACGGGUAGCCGGCCUGAGAGGGUGACCGGCCACAUUGGGACUGAGAUACGGCCCAGACUCCUACGGGAGGCAGCAGUGGGGAAUAUUGCACAAUGGGCGGAAGCCUGAUGCAGCAACGCCGCGUGCGGGAUGACGGCCUUCGGGUUGUAAACCGCUUUCGCCUGUGACGAAGCGUGAGUGACGGUAAUGGGUAAAGAAGCACCGGCUAACUACGUG